This is a long non-coding RNA of Dioscorea cayenensis subsp. rotundata (Guinea yam), 813 nucleotides long. RefSeq lists it as uncharacterized. The record is from RefSeq and is a predicted model, not a curated record. The transcript has 3 exons. NCBI's taxonomy places the organism in Eukaryota, Viridiplantae, Streptophyta, Magnoliopsida, Dioscoreales, Dioscoreaceae.
UUCUCAAUUUUCCCUUUUCUUGGAGACUAGUGCUUCUCGCCGGAGAUCACCGCCGGGAUCUCGAGAUCUCGCCGGAGGUGGAGAGCCGGAUGAAGGGCUAGCCGGAGGAGAUGAUGGACGCUUUGGAGGAGUCGCUUCCGUUCAGGCAAGUCAUAUCUAGGUUCCCUGGCGGCAAGUCAAAGUCGUUCACUUACCUGGCAGAUGCAGUGUCCCCGGCUUCAUUGGCCCAGAGCCAUACGAAGAAAGAGAAUGCAUGCACACUGCAAGCGCCAGAAUAUAUUCAUCUUGGAUGAAUUUGGUCAGCUGCUCUUUCCCUGUCACCUGACUGGCUCUCUCACGUCUUCUCCUGCAAGUACGUCGAUGUUACCAACUUCGUCCAAUGAAGACAAAUACAUUCAUGUGCAUUCAUUCUCCAGCUUGGCAUGGUUCUUGGCUUAUGAAGCACCAAGACACUAGAUCUGUCUGGUUAGUCCAUGACUUUUUUUAUUUAUAUCAAUCUUCGAUCUUUGAAUCAAUUGAUAGUAGGACACAUCUCUAACCAUCCGAGAAUAAGUAGAUUAAUGGUUAGUCAAUGACUUUGGAUUUGCCGUUAUGGAACCUUCGAUAUACCUUGCCUGUGAAGAAACAAUUGCCUCGUAGUCACAAUUCUUCUUCUUCUUCUUCUUCUUUUUAUGAGGAAAAAGAGAGAAAUUUACCUUGAAUAUCAUGGAGAAUGAAGAUUUACUGUAAUUUUAAUGAGUUAAAAAAUUUAAUAACACUUAAGUUCUUUAAAAACAGACUGCAAGUCAGUUAAUAAUAAUGACCAUUUUGUAU